CAUGGCUCAGGACGAACGCUGGCGGCGUGCCUAAUACAUGCAAGUCGAACGAACUCUGGUAUUGAUUGGUGCUUGCAUCAUGAUUUACAUUUGAGUGAGUGGCGAACUGGUGAGUAACACGUGGGAAACCUGCCCAGAAGCGGGGGAUAACACCUGGAAACAGAUGCUAAUACCGCAUAACAACUUGGACCGCAUGGUCCGAGCUUGAAAGAUGGCUUCGGCUAUCACUUUUGGAUGGUCCCGCGGCGUAUUAGCUAGAUGGUGGGGUAACGGCUCACCAUGGCAAUGAUACGUAGCCGACCUGAGAGGGUAAUCGGCCACAUUGGGACUGAGACACGGCCCAAACUCCUACGGGAGGCAGCAGUAGGGAAUCUUCCACAAUGGACGAAAGUCUGAUGGAGCAACGCCGCGUGAGUGAAGAAGGGUUUCGGCUCGUAAAACUCUGUUGUUAAAGAAGAACAUAUCUGAGAGUAACUGUUCAGGUAUUGACGGUAUUUAACCAGAAAGCCACGGCUAACUACGUGCCAGCAGCCGCGGUAAUACGUAGGUGGCAAGCGUUGUCCGGAUUUAUUGGGCGUAAAGCGAGCGCAGGCGGUUUUUUAAGUCUGAUGUGAAAGCCUUCGGCUCAACCGAAGAAGUGCAUCGGAAACUGGGAAACUUGAGUGCAGAAGAGGACAGUGGAACUCCAUGUGUAGCGGUGAAAUGCGUAGAUAUAUGGAAGAACACCAGUGGCGAAGGCGGCUGUCUGGUCUGUAACUGACGCUGAGGCUCGAAAGUAUGGGUAGCAAACAGGAUUAGAUACCCUGGUAGUCCAUACCGUAAACGAUGAAUGCUAAGUGUUGGAGGGUUUCCGCCCUUCAGUGCUGCAGCUAACGCAUUAAGCAUUCCGCCUGGGGAGUACGGCCGCAAGGCUGAAACUCAAAGGAAUUGACGGGGGCCCGCACAAGCGGUGGAGCAUGUGGUUUAAUUCGAAGCUACGCGAAGAACCUUACCAGGUCUUGACAUACUAUGCAAAUCUAAGAGAUUAGACGUUCCCUUCGGGGACAUGGAUACAGGUGGUGCAUGGUUGUCGUCAGCUCGUGUCGUGAGAUGUUGGGUUAAGUCCCGCAACGAGCGCAACCCUUAUUAUCAGUUGCCAGCAUUAAGUUGGGCACUCUGGUGAGACUGCCGGUGACAAACCGGAGGAAGGUGGGGAUGACGUCAAAUCAUCAUGCCCCUUAUGACCUGGGCUACACACGUGCUACAAUGGAUGGUACAACGAGUUGCGAACUCGCGAGAGUAAGCUAAUCUCUUAAAGCCAUUCUCAGUUCGGAUUGUAGGCUGCAACUCGCCUACAUGAAGUCGGAAUCGCUAGUAAUCGCGGAUCAGCAUGCCGCGGUGAAUACGUUCCCGGGCCUUGUACACACCGCCCGUCACACCAUGAGAGUUUGUAACACCCAAAGUCGGUGGGGUAACCUUUUAGAACCAGC
This 1469-nucleotide ribosomal RNA is filed under the name Lactiplantibacillus plantarum subsp. plantarum. RNAcentral's name for it is "bacterial SSU rRNA". It matches the Rfam family "Bacterial small subunit ribosomal RNA". The record is from RNAcentral. Lineage: Bacteria; Bacillati; Bacillota; Bacilli; Lactobacillales; Lactobacillaceae.